GUCCUAGCCGUAAACGAUGGGUACUAGGUGUAGGGGGUAUCGACCCCCCCUGUGCCGGAGUUAACGCAAUAAGUACCCCGCCUGGGGACUACGGUCGCAAGACUGAAACUCAAAGGAAUUGACGGGGCCCGCACAAGCGGUGGAGUAUGUGGUUUAAUUCGACGCAACGCGAAGAACCUUACCAAGGCUUGACAUUGAGUGAAAGAUCUAGAGAUAGAUUCCUCUCUUCGGAGACACGAAAACAGGUGGUGCAUGGCUGUCGU
Molecule: ribosomal RNA, 263 nt
Filed under: uncultured bacterium
Lineage: Bacteria
Description: partial 16S ribosomal RNA
Rfam family: Bacterial small subunit ribosomal RNA
Source: RNAcentral